RNAcentral lists this ribosomal RNA (255 nucleotides) under uncultured bacterium. RNAcentral's name for it is "partial 16S ribosomal RNA". It matches the Rfam family "Bacterial small subunit ribosomal RNA", at positions 524 to 776 of the family's 1533-position model. The record is from RNAcentral.
UACGUAGGGUGCGAGCGUUGUCCGGAAUUAUUGGGCGUAAAGAGCUCGUAGGCGGUCUGUCGCGUCGAUCGUGAAAACUUGGGGCUUAACCCUGAGCUUGCGGUCGAUACGGGCAUGACUGGAGUUCGGCAGGGGAGACUGGAAUUCCUGGUGUAGCGGUGAAAUGCGCAGAUAUCAGGAGGAACACCGGUGGCGAAGGCGGGUCUCUGGGCCGAAACUGACGCUGAGGAAGCGAAAGCGUGGGGAGCAAACAGG